GUACGGAGGGUGCAAGCGUUAUUCGGAAUCACUGGGCGUAAAGGACGCGUAGGCGGGUUGGCAAGUCAGAUGUGAAAUCCUACAGCUUAACUGUAGAACUGCAUUUGAAACUGCUAACCUAGAGUAUGGGAGGGGGAGAUGGAAUUAGUGGUGUAGGGGUAAAAUCCGUAGAUAUCACCAGGAAUACCGAAAGCGAAGGCGAUCUCCUGGAACAUAACUGACGCUAAGGCGUGAAAGCGUGGGGAGCAAACAGGAUUAGAUACCCUUGUAGUCC
Molecule: ribosomal RNA, 274 nt
Filed under: uncultured bacterium
Lineage: Bacteria
Description: partial 16S ribosomal RNA
Rfam family: Bacterial small subunit ribosomal RNA
Source: RNAcentral